UGACUGAGCGGCGGACGGGUGAGUAACGCGUGGGUAACCUGCCUCAUACAGGCGGAUAACAGUUAGAAAUGACUGCUAAUACCGCAUAAGGCCACAGCACCGCAUGGUGCAGGCGUAAAAACUCCGGUGGUAUGAGAUGGACCCGCGUCUGAUUAGGUAGUUGGCGGGGUAACGGCCCACCAAGCCGACGAUCAGUAGCCGACCUGAGAGGGUGACCGGCCACAUUGGGACUGAGACACGGCCCAAACUCCUACGGGAGGCAGCAGUGGGGAAUAUUGCACAAUGGGGGAAACCCUGAUGCAGCGACGCCGCGUGAGCGAAGAAGUAUUUCGGUAUGUAAAGCUCUAUCAGCAGGGAAGAAAAUGACGGUACCUGACUAAGAAGCCCCGGCUAACUACGUGCCAGCAGCCGCGGUAAUACGUAGGGGGCAAGCGUUAUCCGGAUUUACUGGGUGUAAAGGGAGCGUAGACGGAGCAGCAAGUCUGAUGUGAAAACCCAGGGCUCAACCCCGGGACUGCAUUGGAAACUGUUGAUCUGGAGUGCCGGAGAGGUAAGCGGAAUUCCUAGUGUAGCGGUGAAAUGCGUAGAUAUUAGGAGGAACACCAGUGGCGA
Molecule: ribosomal RNA, 612 nt
Filed under: uncultured Lachnospiraceae bacterium
Lineage: Bacteria; Bacillati; Bacillota; Clostridia; Lachnospirales; Lachnospiraceae
Description: bacterial SSU rRNA
Rfam family: Bacterial small subunit ribosomal RNA
Source: RNAcentral